Molecule: ribosomal RNA, 254 nt
Filed under: uncultured bacterium
Lineage: Bacteria
Description: partial 16S ribosomal RNA
Rfam family: Bacterial small subunit ribosomal RNA
Source: RNAcentral
CUAAGUUUGAUGGCGACCGGCGCACGGGUGAGUAACACGUAUCCAACCUGCCGAUGACUCGGGGAUAGCCUUUCGAAAGAAAGAUUAAUACCCGAUGGCAUAGUUCUUCCGCAUGGUAGAACUAUUAAAGAAUUUCGGUCAUCGAUGGGGAUGCGUUCCAUUAGUUUGUUGGGGGGGUAACGGCCCACCAAGACUACGAUGGAUAGGGGUUCUGAGAGGAAGGUCCCCCACAUUGGAACUGAGACACGGUCCAA